AGCGAACGCUGGCGGCAGGCUUAACACAUGCAAGUCGAGCGCCUGUAGCAAUACAGGAGCGGCAGACGGGAGAGUAACACGUGGGAACGUACCCUUUGGUUCGGAACAACCCAGGGAAACUUGGACUAAUACCGGAUAAGCCCGUAACGGGGAAAGAUUUAUCGCCAAAGGAUCGGCCCGCGUCUGAUUAGCUAGUUGGUGAGGUAAAGGCUCACCAAGGCUACGAUCAGUAGCUGGUCNGAGAGGAUGAUCAGCCACAUUGGGACUGAGACACGGCCCAAACUCCUACGGGAGGCAGCAGUGGGGAAUCUUGCGCAAUGGGCGAAAGCCUGACGCAGCCAUGCCGCGUGGAUGAUGAAGGUCUUAGGAUUGUAAAAUCCUUUCAGUGGGGGACGAUAAUGACGGUACCACAGAAGAAGCCCCGGCUAACUUCGUGCCA
This 439-nucleotide ribosomal RNA is filed under the name uncultured bacterium. RNAcentral describes it as "bacterial SSU rRNA". It matches the Rfam family "Bacterial small subunit ribosomal RNA", at positions 29 to 510 of the family's 1533-position model. The record is from RNAcentral.